RNAcentral lists this ribosomal RNA (253 nucleotides) under uncultured bacterium. RNAcentral's name for it is "partial 16S ribosomal RNA". It matches the Rfam family "Bacterial small subunit ribosomal RNA", at positions 524 to 776 of the family's 1533-position model. The record is from RNAcentral.
UACGUAGGGGGCAAGCGUUGUCCGGAUUCAUUGGGCGUAAAGAGCGUGUAGGCGGCCAGGUAGGUCGGUUGUGAAAACUGGAGGCUCAACCUUCAGAGGUCGACCGAAACCAUCUGGCUAGAGUCCGGGAGAGGAGACUGGAAUUCCUGGUGUAGCGGUGGAAUGCGCAGAUAUCAGGAGGAACACCGGUGGCGAAGGCGGGUCUCUGGGCAGUAACUGACGCUGAGGAGCGAAAGCGUGGGGAGCGAACAGG